Molecule: long non-coding RNA, 291 nt
Organism: Eurytemora carolleeae
Lineage: Eukaryota; Metazoa; Arthropoda; Copepoda; Calanoida; Temoridae
Exons: 4
Source: RefSeq, a predicted model, not a curated record
GAUCCGAGUGAUACUGCGCAGAAAAUCAAUCUUUGCAAAAUAUUCAGAGGACUAGAAGAAUGGAAUCUGACCAACUUUUUACAGGAAAUAUUUAUUCAAGAAGAGAAACAGAAGACAGAGUUUAUCCAGAAAGUAUUCCAACGAAUCCAAGAGGAAGGUUUGAAAACCAAAUUAGAUAUUUCAAUCCUGCUCCAGGAGCUAAAUAUAUCAGGGUUUGAUUCUGUUCGAAUCCAGGAGAAGCUUCGAGGUUCGGAAUCUUCUCCAGUUGAUCUGAAUGAACUAAGACGACAG